RNAcentral lists this long non-coding RNA (766 nucleotides) under Homo sapiens (human). RNAcentral describes it as "HSALNT0324272". The record is from RNAcentral. Lineage: Eukaryota; Metazoa; Chordata; Mammalia; Primates; Hominidae.
ACAGAAGUCACUUAACUAAGUCUAGGUUCCUCAUCUGUGAACUGAGAAAACUAAAAGCACUGAUUCCAUGGGGUGCUGUGAGUAUUAAGUCCAUGGAAGGUUCUCAGGGGGUGCCUUCCCGGAGCAAAAUAUGCAUGUAACAAAUAUCAGCCAUCAUUAUUUCUACUAAAGCACUGAAAGAAACACAACUAAAAGACCUAAAACACAGCUUUAUAUUUUAUAGUGAUUUUGGGGGGGCAUGCCAUAGGAAAUGAUUUGAUAUCUGUAGAUUUUAAAGUCAAAAUGUUUCAUGGCUAAUUGAGAAAAAUCUUGGGCUCUUUAAGAUUAGUGUGAGGUUUAGAGAUAAUAAAUGUAAAGCAUGUGACAUAGUGCCUGACAGAUACUCAGUAAGUUGUAGGAGGUUCUAUUAUUACCAAUAUCAUCAUGAUUCAUACAUUUCUUUUCUCUCCACUUUGGCUUGACAUGUGGAUACAUGAGGCCAGUAGGAAGAAGUCACCCAUGACUAUCUGGAACAACAUUGUGGGGAAGGCCAAGUUUCUGUGGUGACGUGUGGCAAAUGGAUUGUAAAUGAAGAUAGACUGUGUAAUGAAUGACGACACUAAAGACUAAUGUGAAGGACUUUAGGGAAAACAAAAGGCUUUCAUCUGAAAGGAUGAUCUGUGGACCAAGGUCACUCAUACCACUCACUGCUCAUUUUCUCAUGUUAUUUUAAAACUUUUUUCGGCCUUUAUACUGCUUUCAGCAGCAUUUGUGUGUAAGAAGUGGA